UUUUUAAUUGAGAACUGGCAUGAAUGGUUUUACAGUAUAAGUCUUUUUUUACUUAAAAUUUUAAUUUAUAUUUUUAGUAAGAAUACUAAAAUAAAAAAAAGGGACGAUAAGACCCUGAAAGCUUAAAACGAUAACUAUAAAAAUUUUUAUUUAGAAUUAUAGUGUUGUUAUUAGCUGGGGAAGUUUUUAUAAAAAAACUAUAAUUAAUUAAUACGUUGUUUUUAUGGUCCUUUAUAUAAGGAUAGUUAGAAAAAGUUACUUCAGGGAUAACAGCAUAAUAAUUUUGUAGAGUUCUUAUCGAUAAAAUUGAGUGUGACCUCGAUGUUGAAUUAAAAUUUCUUUUUAAGGUAUAAUGUAGAGUAGAUGGUUUGUUCAACCUUUAA
RNAcentral lists this ribosomal RNA (383 nucleotides) under Crangonyx hobbsi. RNAcentral's name for it is "partial large subunit ribosomal RNA". Lineage: Eukaryota; Metazoa; Arthropoda; Malacostraca; Amphipoda; Crangonyctidae. The record is from RNAcentral.